UCCUCAUUCCAGUGAAAAAUGCCCUAUAACAGUAAAAAUGGAGCAGGUAUCAGGCACAACUAAUAGCCCAAGACACCAAGCUUUGCCACACCCACACGGGCCAUCAGCAGUGAUAAACAUUAAGCAAUAAGCGAACACACCUAACCUACUUUUUAAAGCUUGACUUAGUUAUGAUUUAAUAGGGCCGGUAAACCUCGUGCCAGCCACCGCGGUUAUACGAAGGGCCCAAAGCAGCAGACACUCGGCGUAAAUAGUGGUUAGAAUCGUGCCAAACACUAAAAAUUAAACCAUAUCCUAGCCGUAAAACAAAGGAUAAAUGAAACCAAACAUUUUUAAAAACAGGCAAUUUGACCCACGAAAACUAAGAAACAAACUAGGAUUAGAUACCCUACUAUGCUUAGUCGUUAAUAAGAUAUUACUCUACUAAAAUAUCCGCCAGAAAACUACGAGCGAAAAGCUUAAAACUCAAAGGACUUGGCGGUGCUCCAUACCGACUUAGAGGAGCCUGUCCUGUAAUCGAUACUCCACGAUAAACCUUACCAGUCUUUGCCCAAUCAGCCUAUAUACCGCCGUCACCAACCUACCUCAUGAGAGAAAAAUAGUAGGUGUAAAAGCCCAACAGCUAGAACGUCAGGUCAAGGUGUAGCUAAUAGACUGGAAGAGAUGGGCUACAUUUUUUAAUAUAAAAUACAACGGCACGGUACAAUGAAAUUUCUACCCAAAGGAGGAUUUAAUAGUAAAAUUAACAAGAAAGUUAAUUUUAAACACG
RNAcentral lists this ribosomal RNA (769 nucleotides) under Sceloporus magister (desert spiny lizard). Its description in RNAcentral is "partial 12S ribosomal RNA". It matches the Rfam family "Bacterial small subunit ribosomal RNA", at positions 188 to 1370 of the family's 1533-position model. Lineage: Eukaryota; Metazoa; Chordata; Lepidosauria; Squamata; Phrynosomatidae. The record is from RNAcentral.